RNAcentral lists this transfer RNA (66 nucleotides) under Schistosoma japonicum. RNAcentral's name for it is "tRNA-OTHER". The record is from RNAcentral. Lineage: Eukaryota; Metazoa; Platyhelminthes; Trematoda; Strigeidida; Schistosomatidae.
GGCUCAGUGGUCCGAUGGUAAAGCGCUCGCAACAGAGGGUCCUGGGUUCGAUUCCCAACAGGGUCG